GGAAUAUUGGACAAUGGGCGAAAGCCUGAUCCAGCCAUGCCGCGUGAGUGAAGAAGGCCUUAGGGUUGUAAAGCUCUUUCACCUGCGAAGAUGAUGACGGUAGCAGGAGAAGAAGCCCCGGCUAACUCCGUGCCAGCCGCCGCGGUAAUACGGAGGGGGUUAGCGUUGUUCGGAAUUACUGGGCGUAAAGCGCACGUAGGCGGAUUAGAAAGUUGGGGGUGAAAUCCCAGGGCUCAACCCUGGAACUGCCUUCAAAACUACUAGUCUAGAGUUCGAGAGAGGUGAGUGGAAUUCCGAGUGUAGAGGUGAAAUUCGUAGAUAUUCGGAGGAACACCAGUGGCGAAGGCGGCUCACUGGCUCGAUACUGACGCUGAGGUGCGAAAGUGUGGGGAGCAAAC
This 398-nucleotide ribosomal RNA is filed under the name uncultured bacterium. RNAcentral's name for it is "bacterial SSU rRNA". It matches the Rfam family "Bacterial small subunit ribosomal RNA", at positions 358 to 773 of the family's 1533-position model. The record is from RNAcentral.